GCCCCCAAUGGCACAAAGCGUCAGUACCUCUGGCUGUUAACCAGAAGGUUGGUGGUUUGAGCCCACCCAGAAACA
This is a non-coding RNA of Podarcis lilfordi (Lilford's wall lizard), 75 nucleotides long. NCBI's taxonomy places the organism in Eukaryota, Metazoa, Chordata, Lepidosauria, Squamata, Lacertidae. The record is from the annotation of a GenBank genome assembly.